RNAcentral lists this ribosomal RNA (425 nucleotides) under uncultured bacterium. RNAcentral describes it as "partial 16S ribosomal RNA". It matches the Rfam family "Bacterial small subunit ribosomal RNA", at positions 354 to 796 of the family's 1533-position model. The record is from RNAcentral.
GUGGGGAAUAUUGCACAAUGGGCGAAAGCCUGAUGCAGCGACGCCGCGUGAGCGAAGAAGUAUUUCGGUAUGUAAAGCUCUAUCAGCAGGGAAGAUAAUGACGGUACCUGACUAAGAAGCACCGGCUAAAUACGUGCCAGCAGCCGCGGUAAUACGUAUGGUGCAAGCGUUAUCCGGAUUUACUGGGUGUAAAGGGAGCGCAGGCGGUGCGGCAAGUCUGAUGUGAAAGCCCGGGGCUCAACCCCGGUACUGCAUUGGAAACUGUCGUACUAGAGUGUCGGAGGGGUAAGCGGAAUUCCUAGUGUAGCGGUGAAAUGCGUAGAUAUUAGGAGGAACACCAGUGGCGAAGGCAGCCUACUGGGCACCAACUGACGCUGAGGCUCGAAAGUGUGGGUAGCAAACAGGAUUAGAUACCCGAGUAGUCC